Molecule: ribosomal RNA, 499 nt
Filed under: uncultured bacterium
Lineage: Bacteria
Description: bacterial SSU rRNA
Rfam family: Bacterial small subunit ribosomal RNA
Source: RNAcentral
GAUGAACGCUAGCGGCAGGCCUAAUACAUGCAAGUCGAGGGGUAUAUGGAGCUUGCUCCAUAGAGACCGGCGCACGGGUGCGUAACGCGUAUGCAACCUACCUUUACCUGGGGGAUAGCCCGGAGAAAUCCGGAUUAAUACCGCAUAAAACCACAGAUCCGCAUGGGUCAAUGGUCAAACAUUCAUGGGGGAGAGAUGGGCAUGCGUGCCAUUAGUUAGUUGGCGGGGUAACGGCCCACCAAGACCGCGAUGGCUAGGGGAUCUGAGAGGAUGGCCCCCCACACUGGUACUGAGACACGGACCAGACUCCUACGGGAGGCAGCAGUAAGGAAUAUUGGUCAAUGGGCGCAAGCCUGAACCAGCCAUGCCGCGUGCAGGAAGACGGCCCUCUGGGUUGUAAACUGCUUUUAUUCGGGAAUAAACCUGUGUACGUGUACGCAGCUGAAUGUACCGAAGGAAUAAGGAUCGGCUAACUCCGUGCCAGCAGCCGCAGUAAGAC